This 709-nucleotide long non-coding RNA is filed under the name Volvox carteri. Its description in RNAcentral is "long non-coding RNA (VCAR_LNC002345)". The record is from RNAcentral. Lineage: Eukaryota; Viridiplantae; Chlorophyta; Chlorophyceae; Chlamydomonadales; Volvocaceae.
UGCAUACAAGCUAAGCUUCCUCUCUUGAUUCAGGUUCAGAGCUGGGGCGAUAGACUUGUCUCACGCCGACGAAGGAUAGCAUGAGGCUCGGAAACGCUUGGCUGAACCACAUGCACCAUUGUGGUGUGGAAAAGCUCCCAAAAGCCUUACUAAGCUUGGCGCCGAAGUAGAAGCUUGGCUGCAGACAUGAUAGUGAGCAAAGGCAAAAGUUAGGAUACCAUUGUUCGAACCAUGCUCGAACCAUGCGCUGCCCAAACAGGGGAUUGAGAACAAGCAACUGGUAUGCAACUGUAGUAAUUACUCAGCUUCACGAAACAUAUUUUCAUUCAUGCACGUCUGGUGGUCCUCAGACACAGAAGAACAAUGUCAUUUCUCUUCUUGCCUGACAAGUUGUUUUACUCUAAAAGAAAAUCUUCCCUUAAGGCCUAAAUAGUUAUAUUAUCUGUAAAAUCUUUCAGGUCGGCAGUCUGCAAACCGCAUUUUGACACUACAGGAAACCGCUUGUGCGCGGUUUUUUGCGGUUGUAGCAAGGUCAAGCCAGCCAGUACAAUUUGGACUACUGGAGGAAAGGCAGGUGCAACUCAAGGAAAAUGCACAAGGGACGGAAACGCAUUUUUUGUCAUCGUGACCUGUAUGCGCCUCAGGCAGUGGGCAUAGCUUGGCGGUCCAGUACAUAACUAAAACACGGACACAGGCGGAUAGAGAGAGC